AAAAUUUAAUAACUUGUUUAUAAUAUUUUUUUUUAAUUUUUAUAAGAAAAAUAAUUUUAUUGAUUUGUAAUUAAGUAAUUUUUAAUAAAAUAAAUAAUAAAUAAACUAUAGAUUAAAGUACUGUAAAGGAAAGUUUAUAAUAUAAAAUUUUUUUAUAGUAAUUUUAAAAUUAUAUACCUUGUGUAUCAGGGAAAAUUUAUAUAAUUUAAGUAUUGUAAAUAUCUCGAAAUAAAAACAGUUAAUUUUAUAAAAAAGUUUUUGUAAAAAAUAAAUUUUUAAUAUAAAAUUAAAGAUGAAAUAUCAGCCGAGUUUUAUUAUAUCUAGUUUUUUAAAAAAUAAAUUUAAUUUAUUUUUUAUAUUUAAUUAUAUAUAAAAUUAAAGUAUAGGAGGGAUUAGCUUCUUAUAAUAUAGAUUAAUAAAAAGUUAUAUAAAUUUUAAAUACUUUAAUUAGUCUUAAAAGUAGAUAUAUUUAUAAAGUGUUUUAACUAAAUUUUUUUUAUUAUAUUAUUUAUAAUAACUUUUUUGAAAUAUUAAAAAAUUAAUUUUAAUAAGGAAAAUUUUAAUAUAAUGAUUUUAUUAGUAAAAUUUAAUGUUAAUUUAAAAAAUAAAAUAUUAUAUAUUGUUUAAUAAUUUUAUAAUAAUAUAAAGGAAUUCAGCAAAAAAUUUCUUUGCCUGUUUAUCAAAAACAUGUCUGUUUGAAGGUAUAAAAAGUUUAACCUGCCCACUGAUAAAUUUUUUAAAGGGCCGCGGUAUUCUGACUGUGCAAAGAAUCUCUAGAGGUUCCCCUUUUACCGAGCUCCUUGUAUGAAUGGUUUGACAAAAGAAAAUCUGUCUUUAUAAUUAUUUAUUGAAUUUAACUUUUAAGUGAAAAGGCUUAAAUAAAUUAAAAAGACGAUAAGACCCUAUAAAGCUUAAUAUUAAAUUUUUAUUUAAUUAAAUUUUGAAUUAUAAUAAAAAUUUGGUAAAUAAAUUUUAUUUUGUUGGGGUGAUAAUGGUAAAAUGAUUAUUAACUGUUAAUUUUUUUAGACAAAAAUAAGUGAAUAAGUGAUUUAUUAAUAAAGGAUCCUGUAUUAAAGAUUAAAAGUUUAAGUUACUUUAGGGAUAACAGCGUUAUUUUUUUUGAGAGUUCUUAUCGAGAAAAAAGUUUGCGACCUCGAUGUUGAAUUAAAAUAUCUAUAUAAUUGUAGCAGUUAUAUAAGAAGGUCUGUUCGACCUUUAAAAUUUUACAUGAUUUGAGUUCAGACCGGCGUAAGCCAGGUCGGUUUCUAUCUUUUAAUAUUUAAAAAUUAUUUUAGUACGAAAGGAUUGAAUAAUUAAAAUUAUUUUUAAUAAUUGGAUGAGCU
Molecule: ribosomal RNA, 1343 nt
Filed under: Chiromantes haematocheir
Lineage: Eukaryota; Metazoa; Arthropoda; Malacostraca; Decapoda; Sesarmidae
Description: 16S ribosomal RNA
Rfam family: Archaeal large subunit ribosomal RNA (bases 1101-1260)
Source: RNAcentral